This 1772-nucleotide unclassified non-coding RNA is filed under the name uncultured fungus. Its description in RNAcentral is "sequence contains 18S rRNA gene, ITS1, 5.8S rRNA gene, ITS2, 28S rRNA gene". The stretch from base 627 to 1772 matches the Rfam family "Eukaryotic large subunit ribosomal RNA", at positions 1 to 961 of the family's 3401-position model. The record is from RNAcentral. Lineage: Eukaryota; Fungi.
GGAAGGAUCAUUAACACAAAUAAAAAUCCACUGAUGGAGAAUUGUUGAAAGACUUUUCUCCAUCAUUAGGCACCGUGAAAAGUUAAAGUCUUUAACCACAUAAACCACUUUAGGGUGGCUUGUUGUGGUUCAAUACAAACUACUUUUAAAAAUGACUGAUAAAAAUGUAUCGACGAAGAUUUUUCAUUGUUUACUCAAUGGAGAAUUUGUAAUCGAGAAAUUGUAAUAACCAAAAUACAACUUUUAACAACGGAUAUCUUGGUUCUCGCAACGAUGACGAGCGCAGCGAAAUGCGAUACUUAGUGUGAAUUGCAGAAUUCAGUGAAUCAUCGAAAUCUUGAACGCAUAUUGCACCUACAGGUUCUCCUGUAGGUACAUCUGUUUGAGUGUCCUCUUUAUCUCACCCCACAACUAAAAUUGCGGGUGUGGAAUUUGAGCGUCGAGUGUUUAACCACAUUCCAGUCGCUUUAAAUACAUUAAGGUACCGACAGAAAGAGUCCAUCUCUGGUUCCAAAGUGGUGUAGUAGCAUACUUUAUUGUGUGAUUAUUCUCCUCGAUUAAAAUCAGGUUAAAGAUGAGUUUCAUUCGACUGGUCUAAAAAGGACAAAUUUUUUUUUCAAAAACUUGGACCUCAAAUCAGAUGAGAACACCCGCUGAACUUAAGCAUAUUAAUAAGCGGAGGAAAAGAAACUAACAAGGAUUCCCGUAGUAACUGCGAGUGAAGUGGGAAAAGCUCAAGCUUAAAAUCUGGGGCGGUCUACGUCUCCGAAUUGUAGUUUUGUGAACAGCUUUACGGAUAUGCUGCUGUAGUAUAAGUCUCCUGGAAAGGAGUGCCAAAGAAGGUGAUAGCCCUGUGCAUGACUACAGAGUCCCGGUGUAUCAAUACGUACUGCGAGUUCGUCGAGUCGGGUUGUUUGGGAGUACAGCCCAAAGUGGGAGGUAAAUUCCUUCUAAAGCUAAAUAAUGGCGAGAGACCGAUAGCGAACAAGUACCGUGAGGGAAAGAUGCAAAGAACUUUGAAAAGAGAGUUAAAAGUGCUUGAAAUUGUUAAAAGGGAAGCGAUUAGAAGCAGUACGUAUUUGCUAUCAACUCAUUUGUUGGUGGAGGAUUGGUAUGGUGUUGUGAGUAGUCCAUCGUGGCUAUCGCAGCAUUGUGUCCUGGUCUUUUAUCAAUGGAGCAUUUUGGUAGUAAAUGAGUCAACAUCAGUGAGAAGAGUGGGAGAAUGGUCUGAAGGAGGUGAUAUGCUAGUAGCUCUCGGGUUAUUAGUGUGUGUUAAACUUCGGAUAGAUACCACUGUUUUCACUGAGGCAACCUAGGUUGAUAACUGAUGCCUUCUUGGCGGAGUCUAGAUAGAACUGAGUUGUGUUAACGGUGGAGACAGCUUGCUGUGUCUGUUGCUUAAUGUGGUUCAUCACUGUCUACUACUAAUCAGUUAGAGAUGUUGACCGAAUGUUUUUAAUCGUCCCGUCUUGAAACACGGACCAAGGAGUCUAACAUAUGUGCGAGUGAAUGAGUGGUAAACUCGGUACGCGCAAUGAAAGUGAUUGGUGGGAGUUGUAAAAAACGCACCAUCGACCAAUCUUGAUAUUUUUGGAUAGAUUUGAGUUGGAGCAUAUAUGUUGGGACCCGAAAGAUUGCGAACUAUGCUUGCAUAGGGUGAAGCCAGGCGAAAGUCUGGUGGAGGCUCGUAGCGAUACUGACGUGCAAAUCGUUCGUCAAAUGUGUGUAUAGCGGCGAAAGACUAAUCGAGCAAUCUAGUAGCUGGUUUCCUC